This 390-nucleotide ribosomal RNA is filed under the name uncultured bacterium. RNAcentral describes it as "bacterial SSU rRNA". It matches the Rfam family "Bacterial small subunit ribosomal RNA", at positions 29 to 420 of the family's 1533-position model. The record is from RNAcentral.
AUUGAACGCUGGCGGAAUGCUUUACACAUGCAAGUCGAGCGGCAGCGCGGGGGCAACCCUGGCGGCGAGCGGCGAACGGGUGAGUAACAUAUCGGAACGUACCCAGUCGUGGGGGAUAACUAUCCGAAAGGAUAGCUAAUACCGCAUACGUCCUGAGGGAGAAAGCGGGGGAUCGCAAGACCUCGCGCGAUUGGAGCGGCCGAUAUCGGAUUAGCUAGUUGGUGGGGUAAAGGCUCACCAAGGCGACGAUCUGUAGCGGGUCUGAGAGGAUGAUCCGCCACACUGGAACUGAGACACGGUCCAGACUCCUACGGGAGGCAGCAGUGGGGAAUUUUGGACAAUGGGCGCAAGCCUGAUCCAGCCAUGCCGCGUGAGUGAAGAAGGCCUCGG